This 435-nucleotide ribosomal RNA is filed under the name uncultured bacterium. RNAcentral's name for it is "partial 16S ribosomal RNA". It matches the Rfam family "Bacterial small subunit ribosomal RNA", at positions 29 to 507 of the family's 1533-position model. The record is from RNAcentral.
AACGAACGCUGGCGGCAGGCCUAACACAUGCAAGUCGAGCGGACAUCUUCGGAUGUUAGCGGCGGACGGGUGAGUAACGCGUGGGAACGUGCCCUUUGCUUCGGAAUAGCCUCGGGAAACUGGGAGUAAUACCGGAUGUACCCUUUGGGGGAAAGAUUUAUCGGCAAAGGAUCGGCCCGUGUUGGAUUAGGUAGUUGGUGGGGUAAUGGCCUACCAAGCCGACGAUCCAUAGCUGGUUUGAGAGGAUGAUCAGCCACACUGGGACUGAGACACGGCCCAGACUCCUACGGGAGGCAGCAGUGGGGAAUCUUAGACAAUGGGGGAAACCCUGAUCUAGCCAUGCCGCGUGAGCGAUGAAGGCCUUAGGGUUGUAAAGCUCUUUCACCGGGGAAGAUAAUGACGGUACCCGGAGAAGAAGCCCCGGCUAACUCCGUG